AGCCGUCUGGGGUACAUAAGAACUGCUAAUUCCUUAUUACCAUGGUUCGAUUCCAUGGUCGGCUC
This 65-nucleotide transfer RNA is filed under the name Amolops wuyiensis (Sanchiang sucker frog). RNAcentral describes it as "tRNA-Ser". The record is from RNAcentral. Lineage: Eukaryota; Metazoa; Chordata; Amphibia; Anura; Ranidae.